Long non-coding RNA from Anguilla rostrata (American eel), 343 nucleotides. RefSeq lists it as uncharacterized. The record is from RefSeq and is a predicted model, not a curated record. The transcript has 2 exons. Lineage: Eukaryota; Metazoa; Chordata; Actinopteri; Anguilliformes; Anguillidae.
UUCCAUGAGGCCGGACCAAGUCUGACGGUCUCUGCCACCCAGUAGCGGGCAUCAGGCACCGCCACAUGGACUCACAUUAACUCCGAUCCCGAGUCGUAGCGUGCUAUGCUUCAGAACCGGGACUUACAAACUUGUUAACAUAACCUGUGACAAUACAUGCUCUGUGGAUGGGAGCUGGUGAAAGACACCCCUCUCUGCAGGAAGGAAUUCUGUUAACAUGGGGAGAAGAUUAAAAUCAGAAAUGGAUACUGAGCAUCGUGAAAUAAAUCCCAGGAGCUGUUCCCUACACCAGCAUUGGCCCCUCCCCAACCCUUCAUUGUUGAAGCAAUUUUGCAUUUCUAUU